AGGGAUGUAGCUCAGUGGUAGAGUAUUUGCCUGGCAUGUGUAAAGUCCUGGGUUCAAUUCCCAGCACUA
This 69-nucleotide transfer RNA is filed under the name Urocitellus parryii (Arctic ground squirrel). RNAcentral's name for it is "Spermophilus parryii (Arctic ground squirrel) tRNA". It matches the Rfam family "tRNA". From Rfam's summary of the family: Transfer RNA (tRNA) molecules are approximately 80 nucleotides in length. Lineage: Eukaryota; Metazoa; Chordata; Mammalia; Rodentia; Sciuridae. RNAcentral also lists the same sequence under 1 other name. The record is from Rfam by way of RNAcentral.